AAACUUCACAAUGGGCGAAAGCCCGAUGAGGGAAUUCCAAGUGCGUAUACAUUAGUAUACGCUUUUGUUCAGCGUAGAUAACUGGACGAAUAAGGGCUGGGUAAGACGGGUGCCAGCCGCCGCGGUAAUACCCGCAGCCCGAGUGGUGGUCGAUUUUAUUGAGUCUAAAACGUUCGUAGCCGGUUUAGUAAAUCUCUGGGUAAAUCGGAAGGCUCAACUUUCCGAAUUCCGGAGAGACUGCUAGACUUGGGAUCGGGAGAGGUAAGAGGUACUUCAGGGGUAGGGGUAAAAUCCUGUAAUCCUUGGAGGACCACCGGUGGCGAAGGCGUCUUACUAGAACGAAUCCGACGGUGAGGGACGAAGCCCUAGGUCGCAAACGGGAUUAGAUACCCCGGUAGUCUAGGGUGUAAACGCUGCAGACUUGGUGUUGGGGACCCUUCGUGGGUAUUCAGUGCCGGAGAGAAGUUGUUAAGUCUGCUACUUGGGAGUACGUCCGCAAGGAUGAAACUUAAAGGAAUU
This 519-nucleotide ribosomal RNA is filed under the name uncultured bacterium. RNAcentral describes it as "bacterial SSU rRNA". It matches the Rfam family "Archaeal small subunit ribosomal RNA", at positions 345 to 866 of the family's 1478-position model. The record is from RNAcentral.